AUCCAAUUGACGAGUCCAAAAUAGGACGAAACGCACGUCUUGGAU
This 45-nucleotide non-coding RNA is filed under the name Schistosoma margrebowiei. Lineage: Eukaryota; Metazoa; Platyhelminthes; Trematoda; Strigeidida; Schistosomatidae. The record is from RNAcentral.